Molecule: ribosomal RNA, 201 nt
Filed under: Bacillus sp. SK1
Lineage: Bacteria; Bacillati; Bacillota; Bacilli; Caryophanales; Bacillaceae
Description: partial 16S ribosomal RNA
Rfam family: Bacterial small subunit ribosomal RNA
Source: RNAcentral
CAGACUCCUACGGGAGGCAGCAGUAGGGAAUCUUCCGCAAUGGACGAAAGUCUGACGGAGCAACGCCGCGUGAGUGAUGAAGGUUUUCGGAUCGUAAAACUCUGUUGUUAGGGAAGAACAAGUACCGUUCGAAUAGGGCGGUACCUUGACGGUACCUAACCAGAAAGCCACGGCUAACUACGUGCCAGCAGCCGCGGUAAU